Molecule: ribosomal RNA, 442 nt
Filed under: Boana aff. steinbachi MTR36142
Lineage: Eukaryota; Metazoa; Chordata; Amphibia; Anura; Hylidae
Description: partial large subunit ribosomal RNA
Rfam family: Bacterial large subunit ribosomal RNA
Source: RNAcentral
CGUGCGAAGGUAGCGUAAUCACUUGUUCUUUAAAUGGGGACUAGUAUGAAUGGCAUCACGAGGGUUAAACUGUCUCCUUUUUCUAAUCAGUGAAACUAAUCUCCCCGUGAAGAAGCGGGGAUUAUUUUAUAAGACGAGAAGACCCUAUGGAGCUUUAAACAAAUUUACACCUGCUUUAAUAUAUCUUACCUCCUGAAUACUCACACAAAUAAUAGCAUGACUGUUAAAUAGUUUUCGAUUGGGGUGAUCAUGGAGAAAAAAACAACCUCCACGACGAUAAGGGAAUAUUCCUGAGCUAAAAGCCACAACUUUAAGCACUAAAAAAUUAACGCACUUUGACCCAAUUACUUGAGCAACGAACCAAGUUACCCUAGGGAUAACAGCGCAAUCCACUUCAAGAGCUCCUAUCGACAAGUGGGCUUACGACCUCGAUGUUGGAUCA